This 484-nucleotide ribosomal RNA is filed under the name uncultured bacterium. Its description in RNAcentral is "partial 16S ribosomal RNA". It matches the Rfam family "Bacterial small subunit ribosomal RNA", at positions 29 to 507 of the family's 1533-position model. The record is from RNAcentral.
AUUGAACGCUGGCGGCAUGCUUUACACAUGCAAGUCGAACGGCAGCGCGGGCUUCGGCCUGGCGGCGAGUGGCGAACGGGUGAGUAAUACAUCGGAACGUGCCCAGUAGUGGGGGAUAGCACGGCGAAAGCCGGAGUAAUACCGCAUACGACCUGAGGGUGAAAGCGGGGGAUCUUCGGACCUCGCGCUAUUGGAGCGGCCGAUGGCAGAUUAGCUAGUUGGUGGGGUAAAGGCCUACCAAGGCGACGAUCUGUAGCUGGUCUGAGAGGACGACCAGCCACACUGGGACUGAGACACGGCCCAGACUCCUACGGGAGGCAGCAGUGGGGAAUUUUGGACAAUGGGCGAAAGCCUGAUCCAGCAAUGCCGCGUGUGUGAUGAAGGCCUUCGGGUUGUAAAGCACUUUUGGCGGGAACGAAAAGGACUGUGCCAAUACCACGGUUCGAUGACGGUACCCGCAGAAUAAGCACCGGCUAACUACGUG